GUUCCCUCUCGUUUGCUCUCUUGCCACUACGCCUCCUUUCCGGUCUUUCUCUUGUUCACACACACUCACUCACUCACUCUCUCUCUCUCUCUCUUUCUCUCUCGCUCUCUCUCUCUCUCUCUCUCUCUCUUCACUCAUCG
Molecule: long non-coding RNA, 140 nt
Organism: Frieseomelitta varia
Lineage: Eukaryota; Metazoa; Arthropoda; Insecta; Hymenoptera; Apidae
Exons: 3
Source: RefSeq, a predicted model, not a curated record